GAGUUUGAUCUUGGCUCAGAUUGAACGCUGGCGGCAUGCCUUACACAUGCAAGUCGAACGGCAGCACGGGAGCUUGCUCCUGGUGGCGAGUGGCGAACGGGUGAGUAAUGCAUCGGAACGUAUCCUGGAGUGGGGGAUAACGUAGCGAAAGUUACGCUAAUACCGCAUAUUCUGUGAGCAGGAAAGCGGGGGACCUUCGGGCCUCGCGCUCUUGGAGCGGCCGAUGUCGGAUUAGCCAGUUGGUGAGGUAAAGGCUCACCAAGGCGACGAUCCGUAGCAGGUCUGAGAGGAUGAUCUGCCACACUGGAACUGAGACACGGUCCAGACUCCUACGGGAGGCAGCAGUGGGGAAUUUUGGACAAUGGGGGCAACCCUGAUCCAGCCAUGCGCGUGAGUGAAGAAGGCC
Molecule: ribosomal RNA, 406 nt
Filed under: bacterium enrichment culture clone ALO1_GLFRUDD03G1EO7
Lineage: Bacteria
Description: bacterial SSU rRNA
Rfam family: Bacterial small subunit ribosomal RNA
Source: RNAcentral